Molecule: ribosomal RNA, 477 nt
Filed under: uncultured bacterium
Lineage: Bacteria
Description: partial 16S ribosomal RNA
Rfam family: Bacterial small subunit ribosomal RNA
Source: RNAcentral
GAUGAACGCUGGCGGCGUGCUUAACACAUGCAAGUCGAACGAGAAGUGAAGACGGAAACCUUCGGGCGGAAGGCUUUAUUUCGAGUGGCGGACGGGUGAGUAACGCGUGGGUAACCUGCCUCAUACAGGGGGAUAACAGUUGGAAACGACUGUUAAUACCGCAUAAGACCACAGCACCGCAUGGUGCGGGGGUAAAAACUCCGGUGGUAUGAGAUGGACCCGCGUUCGAUUAGCCAGUUGGCGGGGUAACGGCCCACCAAAGCGACGAUCGAUAGCCGAACUGAGAGGAUGACCGGCCACAUUGGGACUGAGACACGGCCCAAACUCCUACGGGAGGCAGCAGUGGGGAAUAUUGCACAAUGGGGGAAACCCUGAUGCAGCGACGCCGCGUGAGUGAAGAAGUAUUUCGGUAUGUAAAGCUCUAUCAGCAGGGAAGAAAAUGACGGUACCUGAGUAAGAAGCCCCGGCUAACUACGU